AUCAAAUUACCUUAUUAAGCUAUAUAUCUGAUUUAUUAUGAUUUUUAAGUUCCCAAAAUACCCCUAUUUACAAUUGAGCAUGUAAAAGGCCGGUGUUUGAUGUUUUGGUCCUCCUAUUUAUUGUAGUGAUCCUCUCCAGAAUUUUGUGUAUGCAAUUAAUUAUCCGUUUUGAUUAUGGGGUUAAUUUUCUUAGUCAUAUGUUUUGAUUAUGGUUUUAGUUUGGACAUUGGUGUUCUAAUUAGGGUUCCUAAAGGUGGAAAUUUGGUUGGGGGGUUUCUUCUGUUGCAGUUCAAGAAAUUCCAGGUAUUGAAAUUUCAUUUGAAAAUUCUGGAGCAUUCCACACUGACUAGCAAGCGUGAGUGGUCUGCCGUCAAAUUGCAGGUAAAAAAUGUCUUUCUCUUCUAUGUACAUGGAGCCCCGUUCAUUGUUAGUCCAAACCGGAGCAAAAUUGAGUAUCUGGGUAUUAGUUUACCUACACGAAAAAGAUGGGUUUGAUUUUUGGUUUUUUAAAACCUGGUUAUGGACCUACAGCAUACAAACUAGGGCAAAACCAGAGCAAAC
Molecule: long non-coding RNA, 561 nt
Filed under: Prunus persica (peach)
Lineage: Eukaryota; Viridiplantae; Streptophyta; Magnoliopsida; Rosales; Rosaceae
Description: long non-coding RNA (PPER_LNC007122)
Source: RNAcentral